This is a non-coding RNA of Delphinapterus leucas (beluga whale), 2616 nucleotides long. NCBI's taxonomy places the organism in Eukaryota, Metazoa, Chordata, Mammalia, Artiodactyla, Monodontidae. The record is from RefSeq and is a predicted model, not a curated record.
CUUCCUGCGAGCCAGGUAAACACGGCCGAGCCGAGCCGCCCCACCUGUUGCCCGCCGGCCGGGACCACCUCCGGGCGGCUCUGCCACGCGGGCUCGCUGCACUCACGGGCCCCGCGCGGGGGCAGCCCCUGGAGGCGGGCGCGGACUCCGGCCGGGGCUGAAUUGUGGCUCUUUGAGCCUCUGCUCGCGGCUGAGCCUCCGAGUCACCCCGCCCGAGCGCGCAGGGAGGAAGCCCUGGGAGCAGCUGCUCCACAGCCCGCUCCACGGCCGCCAGCGCCGGCUCCAGGGGCCCCAGCAACGCCGGGCCCCUGGAGAGCACCCGGGGAGCUCUCCUGCAUCCCAGCACCCGGACAGGUGCUCCGCUGGAGAACACAGUCUUCCCAAAGGAGGCCAGCGAAGAGCGCUCGCAAAGCAGACCAGAAGACACGCAUUUGGAAGGGCGGCCCUGGGGCCUGCGGCCUGAAGCAUCUACUGGCUUGUGGGAGCUCUCAACCCUGAAUGGCUUGUUGUCAACCCGCCUGGUGAGCUCUGGGGCUCAUCUGCGCUGACAAGCAGAGGCUUUAGGAUCCUGGGUGUCGUGUGGCAGGCGUAGCUUCCACACGUGGCCCCAACGCCAUCCCAAUCCCACAAAUCCCUCGUUCUCCUUCCUCUGUGCCUUCGAGGCCGGUGCCAUGGAAAAGGAGGAGGGCCAGCGCCCUCGGAACCCAGCCACCAUCCUCUGAGGACAGCCUGUGCCAGCCCAGGAGACACCAGCGGCUUUCAGAAGGGACCCCGCCUGAGUAGCUGUGGCCUCUGGGUCCCCCCCAGCUGAGGUCCCAGGCCUCACAGAGCAGGAAUUGUCUGUCCUUCCUGUGUGCUCCCCGCACCCCUGACCCCCCGAAUCUGCGAGCACGGUGACACGGUUGCACGGUGACACAGGCCAAGGAGCCUGGGCCCCCGGGGACCGGAAGAGAUGGGGAGGACCCGGCCCUGGAGACUCGAGAGGGAGCGCGCCCACCCCUUCAUUCCGGACUUCAGCUCCAGGACAGCGACAGAGGCUCUUUCCAUUGUUUUGAGCCACCCGGUUUGUGGCACUUUGAUACGGCUGCCCCUGGAAGCAAACUCAUGGAGUCACAGAAGGAAAAAUAGAGGACCAGCCGUUCGCGUAAAGAAACCUCACGUGAACGGGGACAGGACAAUUUGAUGAUAGAAACGGUGGGGCGUGGGAUGAAGGAGGGAAGGGGAGGCCAGAGGGAGGCACCCUGGGGCCUGAUGGAGGGGCAUCCAGGGUCUCAGACCCGCUUCGAUCUAGGACCCCAGCCACCUGGGCCCCGAGAGCCCCGCCCCAGGCCCCGACUGCCUUCCCCACCUGCCGUCCUCCUGGUUCAGGCAGGUGGGCUGCAACCUCAGGCCCCCAAGGCUGGGCCAGCACCGGGGCAUCUACCUGGGCACCUGGAAGGCCCAGCAGGCGGGUGGGCAGGGAGCCAGCCUGAGGUCCGAGAGGACCCGAGGGUCUCCCUGCUGUGCUUCUUGGGGUGCAGGGCCACGGGGGAAGGGGGAGGGCAGGGGCACCAGCCCGGGCAAGCACGGAGGUGCGAGAUGCUGAGGAACUGUGGGUUUCAGGGGUGUGACCUUGUGGAGGCGCUGUGAGGCCAGGCUGCCCUGGAGCAAAGGGUUGAGGCCGAGGAAGCUUCAGGACGGUCAUUCCACAGCUCUGGGGAGUGCAUUCACAGGAGAGAUUAGGGUGGAGAGAACCCUCAGGAGAAGAAUAGUGACCCUAAAAUGAGCUGACUCUGCUGGAGGCGUCACCUGCUUCCAGCAACACUGAGGCAACUCCCUGCAUCAGCCCUGGGUCCUCAGGGCACCUCUGGGAUGAGAUCCCCUAUUCCCAUGGUUCCCAGCGUCCGGGGCUGCCCGCGGCACCCACUGAAGGGGACACUGCUCGGGGGCCUGCGUCUCUGCUGUCAGGACCACCUGCCCGUCAAGCCCUGGGAAGGGGCCUGGCUGGUGGACCCGUGGUCCAUACCUGCUGCCGUCGUCGGAAGGACUGGGGUCAGACUUCAGAGGCUGGCGGGCCGGCUGCAGAGCCUACGUGCUUCCUUCUUUGCUAAAGGCAGAGAGCAGGCAGUCCCCGCUGGACGGGGAGGGGGAGGGGGGCUGAGGAAGAGGGCAAGGUCCCGGUGACACUCAGACCCCUGGCAGGAUGGCCGAGAUGGGGAAUAUCGGAGGAAGAGCAGGUCUGAUGGAGACACGGGGGAGGGUGGUUCUUGAAGGGCAGGCUGGAUGCCGGGGUCCUGGCAGCUCAGAUAACACACCCAAGUUCUCUCGCUCCCAGGCACGCGGGGUGUCACCUUACACACAUUCCCAGCCAGGCUCACAGCCCUCCGUCUCCCAGCGGCUGGCCGUGGGCACUCUGUGAAGCCCCCUCUGCAGUGCCAGGCCCCCCGUGGGCUGGGACACGUCUCCUUGGGGUCCCGAUGUCCCCGUGAUUGCCCCACUGCUGUGUGUGCUGGGGGGGGUGGGGCACACCCAACAGAAAGACCACAGGAGGGAGGGCCUGCCUCUGUGUCAGUUAGUAACAAACAGCCAGUGUGAGCGGGCAAGUGCCAAUAAGGGGGCCACAGGGGCUGGGGGACG